Molecule: small nuclear RNA, 123 nt
Filed under: Branchiostoma floridae (Florida lancelet)
Lineage: Eukaryota; Metazoa; Chordata; Leptocardii; Amphioxiformes; Branchiostomatidae
Description: U5 spliceosomal RNA
Rfam family: U5 spliceosomal RNA
About the family: U5 RNA is a component of both types of known spliceosome. The precise function of this molecule is unknown, though it is known that the 5' loop is required for splice site selection and p220 binding, and that both the 3' stem-loop and the Sm site are important for Sm protein binding and cap methylation.
Source: Rfam by way of RNAcentral
GUACUCUGGUUUCCCUUCAGUACCCACGUACAAAUCUUUCGCCUUUUACUAAAGAUUUCCGUGGAGGGGAACAAUCAAUGAGUCUAUAACUCAAUUUUUCCCUGCCCUGUCCCGACCAGGGCU